RNAcentral lists this ribosomal RNA (197 nucleotides) under uncultured bacterium. Its description in RNAcentral is "partial 16S ribosomal RNA". It matches the Rfam family "Bacterial small subunit ribosomal RNA", at positions 328 to 532 of the family's 1533-position model. The record is from RNAcentral.
ACGCUCGACACCUACGGAGGCAGCAGUGGGGAAUAUUGCACAAUGGGGGAAACCCUGAUGCAGCGACGCCGCGUGAAGGAAGAAGUAUUUCGGUAUGUAAACUUCUAUCAGCAGGGAAGAAAAUGACGGUACCUGAGUAAGAAGCACCGGCUAAAUACGUGCCAGCACGCCGAGUAUNGNGGCGGNUGGACGAAGGC